Molecule: ribosomal RNA, 423 nt
Filed under: uncultured bacterium
Lineage: Bacteria
Description: bacterial SSU rRNA
Rfam family: Bacterial small subunit ribosomal RNA
Source: RNAcentral
UAGGGAAUAUUGGUCAAUGGAUGCAAGUCUGAACCAGCCAUGCCGCGUGCAGGAAGAAGGCCUUCUGGGUUGUAAACUGCUUUUGCCAGGGGAUAAAAUGAGCGUGCGCGCUUAAUUGAAGGUACCUGGUGAAUAAGCCACGGCUAACUACGUGCCAGCAGCCGCGGUAAUACGUAGGUGGCAAGCGUUGUCCGGAUUUAUUGGGUUUAAAGGGUGCGUAGGCGGCCCUGUAAGUCAGUGGUGAAAUACUCUAGCUUAACUAGAGGGGUGCCAUUGAUACUGCAGGGCUUGAAUGAAGUCGAGGUAGGCGGAAUUGACGGUGUAGCGGUGAAAUGCUUAGAUAUCGUCAAGAACACCGAUAGUGAAGACAGCUUACUAGGCUUAUAUUGACGCUGAGGCACGAAAGUGUGGGGAUCAAACAGG